UGUUGUGUACAAACGUUUGCAGGGAUUACUACAGGUCUUUGCUGUUUUGCUUGCUUUCACAGGGUGGCAGUAUAUCUUCAUUGAGCCUGUGGUGUGUGGUGGUAGCUGACAUGAUGGUUUUAAUGUUUAGAGGUGGAGAAUGCACUACGACACCACCCACUUUAAAGAAGUUGUGUUUGUUUUCCUGAUAAGAGGGUUUAGUCAGUAAAGGAGGUGGAAAGUAUCUGCAUACCAGCAUAAAGUGUGACGAAAACACAAACUGGUGUUAAAUUUGGUCAGAACACAACAUGAUCCUUUUCUUCUGCAUCGCCUUUAAUGUUAUUCUGGUUUCAGGUUCCUCUCUCAGUGACCAAGUCUACCAGACUCCAGCUCACAUGUACAACAAAACAGGAGAAACCGCCAAAAUCAGCUGUUCACACAGUAUUGACAGCUACAAUCGAAUCCUCUGGUACAAGCAAUUCAACAAACAGCUACAGCUCUUGGGAUAUAUGGAUUUUAACAAAGGAAGUCCAGAACCUGGUGUGAAUGUGACGAUAGAAGGGAGUGCCAGUAAAGACCAGAUCUGCACAUUAAUAAUUGAAGGACUGAACCUGAGCAGCAGUGCAGUUUACUUCUGUGCUGCUAAAAGACAGAGGAGUUUCAAUGAGCCUGCUUACUUUGGCAGUGGCACCAGACUAACAGUCCUGGAAAAUGACCGUGAGGUAACACCACCAACAGUGAAAGUGCUUCCACCUUCGCCAAAAGAAUGUCGCAAGCAGAAAUACGAGCACAGGAGGAAGACCUUAGUUUGUGUGGCCACUGGAUUCUACCCAGACCAUGUCAGUGUAUUCUGGCAGAUCAAUGGGGUGAAUGUCAUCAAUGGUGUGGCGACGGACAACACUGCCCUGAAGGAAAGAGGCACUUACAGCAUCACCAGUAGGUUGAGGGUCUCUGCCAAUGAUUGGUACACACCUGACAGUCAUUUCACCUGCAUUGUCAGCUUCUUUGAUGGAAAAGAAACCAAAUCUUAUCGGGAUUCAAUUCUUGGUGAAAAAGCUAAAGAGGUGACAAUGACAAGAGGCAAAUAUUUGAAGAUCACAAAUAAUGCCAAACUCUCCUACGGUGUUUUCAUCGUCAAGAGCAGCGUCUAUGGAGCCUUUGUUGUGUUUCUGGUGUGGAAGCUUCAGGGAAAGCACAACUGAGAGCUGAGCUGCAGCCUGAACAAGUGAACUCUCAGAGAUCGAUUCUGUUAGUUUCUGUAAAUAAAGAUUGAGAACAUUGAACUUA
Non-coding RNA from Thunnus maccoyii (southern bluefin tuna), 1266 nucleotides. Lineage: Eukaryota; Metazoa; Chordata; Actinopteri; Scombriformes; Scombridae. The record is from the annotation of a RefSeq genome assembly.